Non-coding RNA from Danio rerio (zebrafish), 187 nucleotides. The record is from Rfam. NCBI's taxonomy places the organism in Eukaryota, Metazoa, Chordata, Actinopteri, Cypriniformes, Danionidae.
AACGCUGUCAAUAAAUUUUUUUUCGAAAGAAAAAUCUGUUCUUAUCAGUUUAAUAUCUGAUACGUGCCCUACCCGGGCACUAUAUAUUAAAUUGAUUUUUGCAGCUGGGAGAUGGGUUAGGGGCUUGCUCCACCCACUCCACGCAUCGACCUGGUAUUGCAGUACCUCCGGGAACGGUGCACUCAUU